GUGCUCACCUGGGUAGUACAUGUACUAAAAUUUCAAUGAUACAGGGAAACUUAGCAUAGCCCCUGUACAAGGAUGAUGGGAUCAUUUAGCCCAUUCACGUUCAG
Vulpes vulpes (red fox) is the source of this 104-nucleotide small nuclear RNA. Lineage: Eukaryota; Metazoa; Chordata; Mammalia; Carnivora; Canidae. The record is from Ensembl.